AUUGAACGCUGGCGGCAUGCCUUACACAUGCAAGUCGAACGGCAGCACGGGAGCAAUCCUGGUGGCGAGUGGCGAACGGGUGAGUAAAGUAUCGGAACGUGCCCAGUCGUGGGGGAUAACGUAGCGAAAGUUACGCUAAUACCGCAUACGAUCUAUGGAUGAAAGCGGGGGAUCGCAAGACCUCGCGCGAUUGGAGCGGCCGAUAUCAGAUUAGGUAGUUGGUGGGGUAAAGGCUCACCAAGUCGACGAUCUGUAGCUGGUCUGAGAGGACGACCAGCCACACUGGGACUGAGACACGGCCCAGACUCCUACGGGAGGCAGCAGUGGGGAAUUUUGGACAAUGGGCGAAAGCCUGAUCCAGCCAUGCCGCGUGCAGGAUGAAGGCCUUCGGGUUGUAAACUGCUUUUGUACGGAACCAAAAGGUUUGGCCUAAUAAGCUGAGCUCAUGACGGUACCGUAAGAAUAAGCACCGGCUAACUACGUGCCAGCAGCCGCCGCAG
RNAcentral lists this ribosomal RNA (500 nucleotides) under uncultured bacterium. RNAcentral describes it as "partial 16S ribosomal RNA". It matches the Rfam family "Bacterial small subunit ribosomal RNA", at positions 30 to 523 of the family's 1533-position model. The record is from RNAcentral.